GACGAACGCUGGCGGCGUGCUUAACACAUGCAAGUCGAACGGGAAGGCCCUGCUUUUGUGGGGUGCUCUAGUGGCGAACGGGGGAGUAACACGUGAGUGACCUGCGCUUGACUUUGGGGUAUCUUCUGCAAACUGGGGCUAAUAACGCGUAGGAGCCCCUGCUGCGUGUUGGGGGUUGGGAAGAUGGGGCGGUUGGGGAUGGACUCGCGGGUUAUCAGCUUGUUGGUGGGGUAGUGGCUUACCACGGCUUUGACGGGUAGCCGGCCUGAGAGGGUGACCGGGCACAUUGGGACUGAGGGACGGCGCAGUCGCCUACGGGACGCAGCAGUGGGGAAUAUUGCAGAAUGGGGGGAAGCCUGAUGAAGCAACGCCGGGUGCGGGAUGAUGGGCUGCGGGUUGUAAACCGGUGUCGCCGGUGACGAAGCGUGAGUGACGGUAAUUGGUAAAGAAGCAACGGCUAACUACGUG
RNAcentral lists this ribosomal RNA (468 nucleotides) under uncultured bacterium. RNAcentral's name for it is "partial 16S ribosomal RNA". It matches the Rfam family "Bacterial small subunit ribosomal RNA", at positions 28 to 507 of the family's 1533-position model. The record is from RNAcentral.